RNAcentral lists this ribosomal RNA (275 nucleotides) under uncultured bacterium. RNAcentral describes it as "partial 16S ribosomal RNA". It matches the Rfam family "Bacterial small subunit ribosomal RNA", at positions 399 to 691 of the family's 1533-position model. The record is from RNAcentral.
GCGUGAGUGAGGAAGGCCUUAGGGUUGUAAAGCUCUUUCGCGCGCGACGAUGAUGACGGUAGCGCGAGAAGAAGCCCCGGCUAACUUCGUGCCAGCAGCCGCGGUAAUACGAAGGGGGCGAGCGUUGUUCGGAUUUACUGGGCGUAAAGGGCGCGCAGGCGGCGGUUUUUGUCAGGCGUGAAAGCCCCGGGCUUAACCUGGGAACUGCGCUUGAAACGGGAUCGCUAGAGUUCGGGAGAGGAGAGUGGAAUUCCCAGUGUAGAGGUGAAAUUCGU